This 86-nucleotide transfer RNA is filed under the name Felis catus (domestic cat). It matches the Rfam family "tRNA". From Rfam's summary of the family: Transfer RNA (tRNA) molecules are approximately 80 nucleotides in length. The record is from Rfam by way of RNAcentral. Lineage: Eukaryota; Metazoa; Chordata; Mammalia; Carnivora; Felidae.
GCCUGGGUAGCUCAGUUGGUUAAGCAUCCUGGUUUCAGCUCAGGUCAUCAUCUUGAGGUUCAUGGGUUCGAGCCCCAUAUUGGGCA